This 857-nucleotide small RNA is filed under the name Rattus norvegicus (Norway rat). RNAcentral describes it as "uncharacterized LOC102549693". The record is from RNAcentral. Lineage: Eukaryota; Metazoa; Chordata; Mammalia; Rodentia; Muridae.
GCUCCCCAGGGCAGAAAACCUCAGCAUGCUACACCAUAGGAUCUGUUAGUUACUUCUACUCUCAGAAAACAGUGUUGGACUGCCUGCUGGUUUCUCAGGGAACUGGUGACAGAGCUGACUAAGAAAGGUUUGAGAACUAACAUAAUAUCUGAGGACUGGUGGAAUGAUAAGCAAUAGAAGUCUAUUCAUCUUAUGGGUCUGGAGACUGGGAAGGCCAGCAGCAUGGUACUGACCCUGAAGUAGAAUAAGAGUAAAAAAUGGGAACCCAAGCUGGACCAGGCAUCUAAGCCUUUCGGGAGCUGUCCUGGCAUCAGUUACAGAAACAUCUCCUCUCUUCUCCUCUGCCGGGUGUCAGAGUGCUUAUUCCAGAAAGGUUCCCAUAACAGCAUCAGGUGGGAUCACAGCAAAGGAUGGCGACAUGAAAACUUCAAUUUUCAGCUUUGUACUUAAAAUUCAAGCUUGAAGAGAGUGUUAAGACUCUUGUCUAUCAUCCGUAAAACACCAAUUUUGGGCCAAUGAAGAAAGAAGGAUCUGAGAUGAAGAGAGACAUCACCACCAGAGCAGUUUGCAAAAUGAAAGAAACAGACUCACUCCACGUACCUUGGAAGGUACACACUGUCUACUGAAGCAUCUGUGUACACUCUGCAUACAAUGAGCAACCUCUCUCAUCGGGGCAAAGCCACGGUGUGGAUGACGUGUACACAAAUACAUUUCUGCCCACGUAGUCAGCUGAUGAAAUAAAUGGCCAUCCACUGAAAUGUCUAAAUAUAUAUUUGCAUGUAUAGAUAAAGACAUGAGUUCAGUUUUAGCUUCAGGUCUUUAUGGUCACUGUGGCCAUAAAGUGAUUAAAAAUAACA